Meriones unguiculatus (Mongolian gerbil) is the source of this 4148-nucleotide long non-coding RNA. RefSeq lists it as uncharacterized. NCBI's taxonomy places the organism in Eukaryota, Metazoa, Chordata, Mammalia, Rodentia, Muridae. The record is from RefSeq and is a predicted model, not a curated record. The transcript is spliced from 4 exons.
AAGAAAACUGCAGAACCCCAUGUAUUAUGAGUCUGAUUGCUGCCUCAUGGCCUGGAGGAGUGAUUUUAAUCCUACAGGCCUUUUCUUUUAAUGUGUGUGGCUACAGGUCGGCCAGUCACUUUCCCUUUCAGGACAUUAGUAAUAUCUUUAUAGUCAUCCUGAAGCUAGGUGGAGUGGCACAAAGCUAGCAUCCCAGUGCUUAGGAGGCAGAAGCAGGCGGAUCACCGAGAGUUCAAGGCCACCCUGGUCUACCUAGAGAAUCCCAGGACAGCCAGGCUACAUCUGCCUGCCUCAGCCCCCAGGUUGCUGGGGUUAAAGGCAUGAGGCAAUCAGGCUGGUGACCAUCAAGGUACAGGAGAGCGCAUGGAGCCAGACAUGGGGGUUCACACAUGUAAUCCUAACACUAGGGAUCAGAGGCAGGAGGGCCAUGAGUUUGAGGUGGAUCUAACUGCGUAGCUAGACGCUAGCUACAUCCAACAGCGUUGCUAACAGCCCUCACAUUUUUUUAGCCGGGCACACUCUUACUAUACACAAAAACCAUCGUCACCAGUCCGCCCCCACCCCCCACCCCGAGUUAGCCACGAAUGGUUUUCUUCGAGAGCAUUCUUUAAGGAGUCCAGUGUUGAAUGAAAAACAAGGAACCGGCUGUGCUGGGCGGCACAAGGGACGCUGGAGUCCGAGCCACAGACAGAGAAGCUUUCAGCAGGACAGCUGCAGAACUCUCGCUUUUGCCCACACCCUCAACCUCCAGGGCCAUCCGCCUUUGCCAGUGGGUGAGCUCCCAGGAGCAUGACCCUGCUGAGGAGCCCAAGGGACCCUUGCAGUCAUUCCUCGGAACCACAGCAGAAGCUGAGGAGGGUGGGGAUGUCAGCUAGUCUGCCUGGCGAGCAGUGAGUGCUGGUUAUGAGUAAGGACUUGUGCUGUCACUCGGGGGUGAGAGAUGAGUCACACAGUUGCCUUGCCUGUGAGACCUCACAGUUUACUGAGAGAAACAGACCCACCAGCAUCAUGUGCAGGAAGUGCGGUGACCAACGCCUUCUGUUCGGGGCAUCUCCGAUGGAUCUGUCUGCAGGCUCGGUGAAGACUGCGCAGAAGAUGGAGUGUGGAAAGUCACCGGGGAAGGUGUCAUCUGUGAGAACACACACUUAGGAAUCAGAGAUGAUACCAUCCUCAAGACUGGAGGAAGGUCAAGAGGUGGUGCAGCAUUAAUAAGUCCUAAGUAUUGUCACUAAGAGCCGUGCCCCUCAGAAUGCCCUGUUCCUGUAGCAUACAGUCACGCACCAGGGAUUUCAUAAUGGAUGGACAUUUCAGCUGGGGGAAAGCAUGGAAAAAUGACUACAUAUGGUCAUGAGCAGGACAGUGAAUGUACCCCUGGAAAUGACAGUAAAGGUGUGGCCGGUGCUCUGGCUUCUGGUCAUCUCUCUGUGUGUGUGUGUUCUUGCCACCUGUGUUCAGUGCGUUUGGAGGCCAAACGAGGGUACUGAUCUCCUCAGGUUGGAGUCACAGGCGAUGAUGAUCUGGUCCGUCUGGGAUCUGGAACAGAACGUCCGUGGGUUCCCUGGAAGAGAGAAGGAGUCGCUCUUAACCACUGAACCUUCCCUCCAGCCUCUACACUCAGAUCUCCUUAAACACUUGGGGGACCCAAGGAGAUAUGGCCCACAGUGGUUCCGAAGACCAGCAACCAGCAACUGUGACCAGUGAGCACUGCUGUAUUUUGAAACCCUGCAGAGCAAAUCUAGAAUGAAUACUUCCAGGAAGUACAGAUUUCAGCUCUGGGCCUACAGGUGGCUCAGCAAUUAAGAGGACAUACUGCUCCGGACAUACGGCAUCCCACGUGGGUGCCCCCAGCCGCCUGUAACUCCAGCCCCAGGAGGAUCUGAUGUGUUUGGCCUCUGAGGGCACCACUACUCGUGUGCGCAUACCAACACACGCAUACGCAUGGUUAAGAAGAAUCCCUUGUUUUAACAGAUAUUUCAGCCCUGCUGCAGAGAUGCAGCUCAGCUGGUGAGCCAUGUGCUUAACAUGCAAGCAGCUCUGGAUUCAGUCCCCAGGGAAUGAGGAGAUUCAAGUCAACUUCGAGAGCAGUUCAUUUCCUAAUGACCUGAGGGAUAGAAAAAUGAGUGACGCCUGUAACUGCAGCACUUGGGAGGUGGAGGCCGGAAAGUCAGAGUUCAAGAUGAGCCUUGGCUGCAGAGAACGCUUAAGACUAGUCUGAGCUUCAGGAGUCCCUGUCCAAAAGGAAAACCUCUGGGGGAUGUCGCUCAGUGAAAGAGGGCUUGCCUCAGCUUCAUGAGGUCCAACGUCCAGUCCCGGCACCAGCAAGUACAUAAAGGAAAGGAGGAAGCAUGAGAGAAAGGAAGGAAGCACUGAAGGAAGGCCAGAAGAGGUAUCUGAGGAAAAGGACUUGAAGUUUGAGCGGUACGGUCUUUGAGAUCUAUCAGCCGAGCACCGCAGAUACAAAAUGCUGUGUCCAUCUCAUGCAGCAGAGACCCCGUAACCUGCUUAUCAACAGCAGACAGCACUGAAUUCACACCAGCAUGCACCAGCGUGCUCCUGAAAUCGGCCCUGCACCCAGCUUAUCCCUCCCAAGGACUUAUCUCACAUCACAGGAAAGACGGCUGAAAUAUUACCCCAUCUGUCAUGGCCUUACCUGCUCUGGUUUGAAAUGUAAAAUGAAACAGGCACACCCUUUGGGUCUACUGAUAGGGUAUGUGGUGACGUCCAAUAAUAAGGAAUUAGCACCAGAUUCCAGCAUGUCCGAGCUGGGACAAUCUGGAUGAGGUCACUAUCCUACCCCCUCUGCUGAAAGAGACACAAAGAGGAAGGACCCAUCUAAGUAACACAUCACGCCACACUGGACCAACAUCCCCUGCUGCUGGAGUACAUACAGUCUUACCCCUGAGAUCCAAGAAUCCCCCAGCCCCUUUUUCUGUUUACUGAACAGUGAUAAUUUCCUACCAUCUAGCGAUCUCAAAGUUCUUGCUGAUGGCAGCUUCUGGUGCCGAACCCUCAAGAGAGAUACUUUAGGGGAUGGCUCAGUGGUGAAAAGCACGUACUUCUCUGCUCACUCAGGGGAUCCAAACUUGAUUUCCAGCACUUAGAACCAGUGGUUCCCAAAUGCCCGUAACUCCAGCUGCAGAGGACCUGACACCCUCUUCUGGCCUGCAUGAGCACCUGCAAUCACAACAGACAAAAUUAAAUUUAAAGAAAAUAAUAAUAUAUCUUAUUUGCAUUGGUGUUUUGCCUGCAUGUUUGUCUGUGAGAGGGUGUUGGAUCCUCUAGAGCUGGAGUUACAGAUAGUUGCGAGCUACAAUGUGCGUGCUGGGAAUUGAACUCAGGAGUUCUGGAAGAGCAGCAGCUAGUGGUCUUAACUGUUGUACCAUCUUUCCAGUCCACAAAAUUAAAUCUUAGCAAAAGAUCUUAAAAAGGGGCACGUUGUAGGCAGGUGGUGGUAGCACAGGACUUUAAUCCCAGCAUUUGGGAGGCAGAGGCAGGCGGCUCUUUGUGAGUUUUGGCCUCUUUGUGAGGCCAGCCUGGUCUACAAAGUGAGUCCAGGAUAGCCAGGACUGUGCGGAGAAACCCUGUCUCAAAAAAAAAACAUAAAAGAAGAAGAAAGAAGAAGAAGAAGAAGAAGAAGAAGAAGAAGAAGAAGAAGAAGAAGAAGAAGAAGAAGAAGAAGAAGAAGAAGAGAAGCACAAAACAAAACAAAAAAAGGAGCACAAGACAAGGGCCAGUGUUCUAAGACCUUGUCUGAAAGGAAAAGAUGUCUUUAUCCUGUCCUUAUUAUCAAAUGAAAAUCUCACUACAUUCACGGUAUAAAUUUUAAGUCAAAGAGCAAUGUUAGGUCUCAAACCUGGGACAAAUGGCUGAGGUGCCUAUUUAACAUAUCAGAGCAGACCUGGCUGCCAGGUUCUCCCAGCAUCCCUCAGUCCCUAAGGGCAUGCCUGGUGCGCUCCACCCCUAUCCUGAGCUCUCCAGCCCAGGGACUGAGCUGCUUCCCCUCCACCCCACCCUACCCCCAUUCUACACUUUACUCUCUGGCUCUCCCCUCCCCUCACAUUGCCCAGGUCAAAAUAACGUUCAAUCUGGACUCACCUCGAUGUCCCUGCCUCUGGCCAUAGCUACAAUAAACCUUCUCUUUUAACAUA